This 576-nucleotide ribosomal RNA is filed under the name uncultured eukaryote. RNAcentral describes it as "bacterial SSU rRNA". It matches the Rfam family "Eukaryotic small subunit ribosomal RNA", at positions 23 to 550 of the family's 1831-position model. The record is from RNAcentral.
UGUCAUAUGCUUGUCUCAAAGAUUAAGCCAUGCAUGUCUAAGUAUAAGCUUUUAUACGGUGAAACUGCGGAUGGCUCAUUAUAUCAGUUAUAGUUUAUUUGAUAGUGCCUUUACUUGGNNANCUGUNGGAAUCCGAGAGCUAAUACAUGCAAAUGGCUCCGACUCGGUGCAAGCCUGGAAGGAGUGUAUUUAUUAGAUGUGAAACCAAUGCGGGGUAUUCCAAACUGUGCGUCUGCGGGGCAACUCGUGGGCGUACGGGCUCCGGUUUUAUGGUGAAUCAUGAUAACUCUGCGAAUCGCAUGGCCUUGCGCCGGCGAUGAUUCAUUCAAAUUUCUGCCCUAUCAACUUGACGAUAGUAUAGAGGACUAUCGUGGUUUUAACGGGUGACGGAGCAUUAGGGUGCGAUGCCGGAGAGGGAGCCUGAGAAACGGCUACCACGUCUACGGGCGGCAGCAGGCGCGUAAAUUACCCAAUCCUGACACAGGGAGGUAGUGACAAUAAAUAACAAUGCUCGCCCCGACAAGGGGUGAGCAAUUGGAAUGAGUACGACUCAAAACCGCUAACGAGUAGCAAUUA